Peromyscus maniculatus bairdii (prairie deer mouse) is the source of this 305-nucleotide non-coding RNA. The record is from RefSeq and is a predicted model, not a curated record. Lineage: Eukaryota; Metazoa; Chordata; Mammalia; Rodentia; Cricetidae.
CCACUUCACAUGCUCCAGCAGUUCAUACAUGAGGUGAAUGUUGGAUGGGCCACCUCAUAGUCCUGGUUCUGGGCUUGGGUGGUAGCUGGGUUGGUCAGCCUCCCAGCUUUCCCUCAUGGACACCAACAAGGCUGUCUCACCUGCACCACCACCCCACCAACAAGAUCAGAUCUACUUUGUCGUCCUUAUGAGAGAUAGAUGUGCCCAUGGAGACAAGAGGAGGACUGAAUAAAAGGACCUGUGCAAGAUCAACAAUUGCUUUUGCCAAGUGAGUCAUCUCCCCUGUCCCAAACACUGAGUUUGGA